This 1556-nucleotide ribosomal RNA is filed under the name Salmonella enterica subsp. enterica serovar Senftenberg. RNAcentral describes it as "bacterial SSU rRNA". It matches the Rfam family "Bacterial small subunit ribosomal RNA". RNAcentral also lists the same sequence under 1 other name. Lineage: Bacteria; Pseudomonadati; Pseudomonadota; Gammaproteobacteria; Enterobacterales; Enterobacteriaceae. The record is from RNAcentral.
UUAAAUUGAAGAGUUUGAUCAUGGCUCAGAUUGAACGCUGGCGGCAGGCCUAACACAUGCAAGUCGAACGGUAACAGGAAGCAGCUUGCUGCUUUGCUGACGAGUGGCGGACGGGUGAGUAAUGUCUGGGAAACUGCCUGAUGGAGGGGGAUAACUACUGGAAACGGUGGCUAAUACCGCAUAACGUCGCAAGACCAAAGAGGGGGACCUUCGGGCCUCUUGCCAUCAGAUGUGCCCAGAUGGGAUUAGCUGGUUGGUGAGGUAACGGCUCACCAAGGCGACGAUCCCUAGCUGGUCUGAGAGGAUGACCAGCCACACUGGAACUGAGACACGGUCCAGACUCCUACGGGAGGCAGCAGUGGGGAAUAUUGCACAAUGGGCGCAAGCCUGAUGCAGCCAUGCCGCGUGUAUGAAGAAGGCCUUCGGGUUGUAAAGUACUUUCAGCGGGGAGGAAGGUGUUGUGGUUAAUAACCACAGCAAUUGACGUUACCCGCAGAAGAAGCACCGGCUAACUCCGUGCCAGCAGCCGCGGUAAUACGGAGGGUGCAAGCGUUAAUCGGAAUUACUGGGCGUAAAGCGCACGCAGGCGGUCUGUCAAGUCGGAUGUGAAAUCCCCGGGCUCAACCUGGGAACUGCAUUCGAAACUGGCAGGCUUGAGUCUUGUAGAGGGGGGUAGAAUUCCAGGUGUAGCGGUGAAAUGCGUAGAGAUCUGGAGGAAUACCGGUGGCGAAGGCGGCCCCCUGGACAAAGACUGACGCUCAGGUGCGAAAGCGUGGGGAGCAAACAGGAUUAGAUACCCUGGUAGUCCACGCCGUAAACGAUGUCUACUUGGAGGUUGUGCCCUUGAGGCGUGGCUUCCGGAGCUAACGCGUUAAGUAGACCGCCUGGGGAGUACGGCCGCAAGGUUAAAACUCAAAUGAAUUGACGGGGGCCCGCACAAGCGGUGGAGCAUGUGGUUUAAUUCGAUGCAACGCGAAGAACCUUACCUGGUCUUGACAUCCACAGAAGAAUCCAGAGAUGGAUUUGUGCCUUCGGGAACUGUGAGACAGGUGCUGCAUGGCUGUCGUCAGCUCGUGUUGUGAAAUGUUGGGUUAAGUCCCGCAACGAGCGCAACCCUUAUCCUUUGUUGCCAGCGAUUAGGUCGGGAACUCAAAGGAGACUGCCAGUGAUAAACUGGAGGAAGGUGGGGAUGACGUCAAGUCAUCAUGGCCCUUACGACCAGGGCUACACACGUGCUACAAUGGCGCAUACAAAGAGAAGCGACCUCGCGAGAGCAAGCGGACCUCAUAAAGUGCGUCGUAGUCCGGAUUGGAGUCUGCAACUCGACUCCAUGAAGUCGGAAUCGCUAGUAAUCGUGGAUCAGAAUGCCACGGUGAAUACGUUCCCGGGCCUUGUACACACCGCCCGUCACACCAUGGGAGUGGGUUGCAAAAGAAGUAGGUAGCUUAACCUUCGGGAGGGCGCUUACCACUUUGUGAUUCAUGACUGGGGUGAAGUCGUAACAAGGUAACCGUAGGGGAACCUGCGGUUGGAUCACCUCCUUACCUGAAAGAAGC